AUUAAUCUCAAUUAAUAAUAAAAGAAAAAGGGGAUAAUUAGGAUUCAUUUUAUGACUCUCCAACUUCUCCUCUCAGACUCAACUCUCCCUCGCGAACGGCGUUGACACUCUCUUUCACCUCCGAUCAAAAUCUCGCCGUUGCACCACCGUCCAAUCGAAACGGAUAACCACACCUACCCCUUUUUCAAUCAUAAUCUCUCUUCAAACUCCUCAAUCAACUGCCUAGUCUCUCUCAGGUAGAAAAGGGGAAAGUAAACCCUAAAUGUUCAUGAGGAGAAAUCAAGGUAAAGUCUCGCCUAAUACGCUAGGUUUCGAGCAAAUCCGGAUUCAUACGAGCAUUAACAAGCACAAAUCAACAACAAAGAGUGCGAUUGACGUCGGGAGCAAAAGGAUUCAGGCUUACCUCUUGGAGGCGGACUCCGGCGAUUCUCGGAUUUGGAGAUGAGGAUAGAACGUAACUCCGAAGUUCAGAUUGGAAGAUUACGAAGAAUCCGUGAAGAUGUUGUUCUUGCUGCGCUGGUGUUAUAGUGAAGAAGAUGAAGAUCCGAUGGAGAUGGAGAUGGAGUCGUUGAAUUGGUGAUGAAGAUUAGUCUGGUUUCUGUUCUUGCAGAAUAAGUGUGGAUUGAUGCUUGUAGAUGAUGAAGAAUGGUGGAGGAGAAGAUGGUGUGUAGAUGAAGAUUGAAGAAGAUGAAUUGGGGUUCUGUUGAAGGUGAUUGAAAAUGGUGAAGAAGCUGAGAAAUUGGAAGAAUCGUGGAGAGCCUUGAAGCUGGGUGAAAGUCCAGUUAUAUAGAGUUUCCAGGUUAGUUACUCUUCUCAAUUUUUCUGUUAUGAUUCAGUUAGAAUUCUGUUAGAGUUUUGUAACUGACUUGGAAGGUUAGUUAUCUGAUUCUAGGUUGUUACAAAUCGGUUAGAGGGAGUUAGGUUUGGUAGUUAGUUCUGGAUGUUGGGAAAUCUGUUAUAACUGUUAUGAGGUGGUUAUGGUUAGCUUUGCACAUUGAAUGAAGGGUGAGUUAACUGAAUGCAGUAACAUGAUAUAAAUUCAUUUUGUUUUCUUUUGUAUGGAGUUCUGAAUGACUUGUAAGCUGCCUGAAUUGCUGAAAUAGAGUGUAUGCAGGGCUGUCUUGAUGCUAUUGGAUGGCUGCUGUAAAUAUAUGUUGCAGGGUACUGCAGUUGAGGAUUUUUCUGAGACAUUUGACUACUGAAGUAUGCAAGGGUGCAGCUCUGUUGUUGGGAGUGAGUUGGAGAUUUACAUGGAGGCAUGAAGAUUUAGGGACAGAAUUAGGAUGAGUUUAUGAUGAUGAUUCUUUCUUUGGUUGUAAUCUUUCCUUUGCGAUUUGUAGCGCCUUUGUAAUAAGUUAGGAUUGUUGUAAUAAAAUUUGGACCUUAUUAGCUUGUAACUUCGAUGUGGGAAUACACUUGGACUUGUAAUGUUAACUCUGAGGUUGACUUUCUGAAUUUGAGUUUUGAAUAAGAAUUAAGAUUAUGAAUAUAGCAUUAUAACUUGAGUUUCAAGGAACUAAUUAUGAAUGAAUCUUGCUAUUUGAUAGAAUCUUCUUGAAAAUACGAAUGAUGUUCGUACGAAUCUUGAUGAAGACCUUUGAAUCAAACUUGUAUACUUUUCAUAGUUCCAUAAUAAUUAGAUCCAAAUUGGACACUCCUGAUUGAAUCUUAAAUUCAUAACAAUUUGUACUUGAAGCAACCUUAAUGUGCAUGAGACCUUAACUUGAUGUAUCAAAAGAUAAACAAACUCAUCAUCAUCCUAUUGCCCAAACCAUGAGUCUUUUUUUAGUCAUUUCUUGUAUCUCAA
Molecule: long non-coding RNA, 1807 nt
Organism: Vicia villosa (hairy vetch)
Lineage: Eukaryota; Viridiplantae; Streptophyta; Magnoliopsida; Fabales; Fabaceae
Exons: 3
Source: RefSeq, a predicted model, not a curated record